GUAACAAGGUCUCCGUAGGUGAACCUGCGGAGGGAUCAUUACACAAUAAACAUAUGAAGGCUGCACCGCCAACAGGCGGCAAGGCUGGAGUAUUUUAUUACCCUUGUCUUUUGCGCACUUGUUGUUUCCUGGGCGGGUUCGCCCGCCUCCAGGACCACAUGAUAAACCUUUUUUAUGCAGUUGCAAUCAGCGUCAGUACAACAAAUGUAAAUCAUUUACAACUUUCAACAACGGAUCUCUUGGUUCUGGCAUCGAUGAAGAACGCAGCGAAAUGCGAUACGUAGUGUGAAUUGCAGAAUUCAGUGAAUCAUCGAAUCUUUGAACGCACAUUGCGCCCUUUGGUAUUCCAAAGGGCAUGCCUGUUCGAGCGUCAUUUGUACCCUCAAGCUUUGCUUGGUGUUGGGCGUUUUUUGUCUUUGGUUUUGUCCAAAGACUCGCCUUAAAACGAUUGGCAGCCGGCCUACUGGUUUCGCAGCGCAGCACAUUUUUGCGCUUGCAAUCAGCAAAAGAGGACGGCACUCCAUCAAGACUCUAUAUCACUUUUGACCUCGGAUCAGGUAGGGAUACCCGCUGAACUUAAGCAUAUCAUA
Molecule: ribosomal RNA, 590 nt
Filed under: Curvularia sp. 688 EMG-2015
Lineage: Eukaryota; Fungi; Ascomycota; Dothideomycetes; Pleosporales; Pleosporaceae
Description: eukaryotic LSU rRNA
Rfam family: 5.8S ribosomal RNA (bases 220-373)
Source: RNAcentral